RNAcentral lists this ribosomal RNA (262 nucleotides) under uncultured Glomus. RNAcentral's name for it is "partial 18S ribosomal RNA". It matches the Rfam family "Eukaryotic small subunit ribosomal RNA", at positions 624 to 886 of the family's 1831-position model. Lineage: Eukaryota; Fungi; Glomeromycota; Glomeromycetes; Glomerales; Glomeraceae. The record is from RNAcentral.
AAGCUCGUAGUUGAAUUUCGGGAUUGGCAUAUCGGUCGUGCCCUCGGGCACGUACUGGUAGUUGUUAAUCUCCACCUUCUAGUGAACUAUUAUGCCUUUCACUAGGUGUAAUAGGGAGCUAGGACUGUUACUUUGAAAAAAUUAGAGUGUUUAAAGCAGGCUUUAAGCUUGAAUAGAUUAGCAUGGAAUAACGAAAUAGGACGGCAUGAUUCUAUUUUGUUGGUUUCUAGGAUCACCGUAAUGAUUAAUAGGGAUAGUUGGG